AAUAGAUACCCGGGUAGUCCACGCCGUAAACGAUGAGUGCUAAGUGUUAGGGGGGUUUUCCGCCCCUUAGUGCUGCAGCUAACGCAUUAAGCACUCCGCCUGGGGAGUACGGUCGCAAGACUGAAACUCAAAGGAAUUGACGGGGGCCCGCACAAGCGGUGGAGCAUGUGGUUUAAUUCGAAGCAACGCGAAGAACCUUACCAGGUCUUGACAUCCCAUUGACCGCUAUGGAGACAUGGCUUUCCCUUCGGGGACAGUGGUGACAGGUGGUGCAUGGUUGUCGUCAGCUCGUGUCGUGAGAUGUUGGGUUAAGUCCCGCAACGAGCGCAACCCUUGUUCUUAGUUGCCAUCAUUUAGUUGGGCACUCUAAGGAGACUGCCGGUGACAAACCGGAGGAAGGUGGGGAUGACGUCAAAUCAUCAUGCCCCUUAUGACCUGGGCUACACACGUGCUACAAUGGACGGUACAAACGGUUGCCAACCCGCGAGGGGGAGCUAAUCCGAUAAAACCGUUCUCAGUUCGGAUUGUAGGCUGCAACUCGCCUAC
Molecule: ribosomal RNA, 546 nt
Filed under: uncultured bacterium
Lineage: Bacteria
Description: bacterial SSU rRNA
Rfam family: Bacterial small subunit ribosomal RNA
Source: RNAcentral